UACGGGGGGGGCAAGCGUUGUUCGGAAUUACUGGGCGUAAAGAGCUCGUAGGCGGCCACUCAAGUCGAAUGUGAAACCUCGAGGCUUAACCUCGAGCCUGCAUUCGAUACUGGGUGGCUAGAGUCUGGUAGGGGGAUCUGGAAUUCCUGGUGUAGCGGUGGAAUGCGCAGAUAUCAGGAGGAACACCGGUGGCGAAGGCGGGAUCCUGGGCCAGUACUGACGCUGAGGAGCGAAAGCGUGGGGAGCAAACAGG
Molecule: ribosomal RNA, 253 nt
Filed under: uncultured bacterium
Lineage: Bacteria
Description: partial 16S ribosomal RNA
Rfam family: Bacterial small subunit ribosomal RNA
Source: RNAcentral